This is a non-coding RNA of Pelobates cultripes (western spadefoot toad), 498 nucleotides long. Lineage: Eukaryota; Metazoa; Chordata; Amphibia; Anura; Pelobatidae. The record is from the annotation of a GenBank genome assembly.
GCGUUGAGGUGGCUGUUCGGCUUGUGUCACUUGCCGCCGAGUCAGAAUCAUAGUCGCGGCCAUCUUCCGCACGUGUGGAGCCUCCGUCCUUGCGGGUGCAGAAUAUCGGCACUACCUCCGUUCCUUGUUUGGAUUUGCGACCCCCUCCCAUGACUGGUCGGUUGUGUGCCGGGAUAGGGGUGUUGUUGACCGAGUGAUCGUAUAUUUCGCCAGGUUUAGGUAUAUUAGCCUAUUGUUUGCCUGCUGGUACGGAGCUCUAAAAGAAAGCAGCUAUCUGUACCAGAAGUCAGGCGCCGCCCCCUGCUUUUCUGACUUUUUAAAAAUAGGUUCCCUGCUUUUAGAACACAGGGUACAACAAUAUGAUAUAACACCCGCUGCUCUGUCUGCGUUGAGAGGAAACAGGUAGAAAGUUCCAUGUUGCUUCUGGAUUGUGGAGGAUGCAUUCCCCCCAUGCAACUUCCUGGGGUGCUGGAUGCAAAUGUGAGCCCCAAAUAUGCC